Molecule: non-coding RNA, 552 nt
Organism: Danio rerio (zebrafish)
Lineage: Eukaryota; Metazoa; Chordata; Actinopteri; Cypriniformes; Danionidae
Source: Ensembl
UUAGUGCAACUUUAUGGUGCGACUCACAUGGUAAAGACAUCCAGGGCAUCAACAGGCGACCGGACGACAUCAAAGUAGGUCUGCAGGAUGGUGACGGUGCCAGAAAGAGCCUCAUGUCCACAGCCACAGAAGAGAGCAACACCGGCGUACAGCAGGAUAGUGGCGAUCAGAGAGGCAUACGGGAUCCCACUCAGACAUUUGAGGCAGCAUUCAGAGCAACCUGUCAACAACAGCAAGAGUCAGGAAAUGGUGGAAAUGGUGGAAAAGGGGAACCGUAUCCAGGCAGUCACUCUUUUCCAUUAGAGAACAAUGGAUUUUCCAGGUCUUGAGGCCGUUAACAUCAAGAACAAAAACUUAAACAAUGGUAACUACUGUGUACUGAUUGAACUAUAUUAAGACGAAAACUGUGGUUUAUUGCCAUUUGUGCAGUUGCAUUCUCAAGCAACAAACUAAUCUAAAGCUACAUAGCGGUUUAAUCCCGAUUCCUAGUGUUCCCUUUGAAGUGUGCAUGUGGAAAUGCUCUUAAUUUCACAAUUUUAAAGUCCUUAGUUU